CAAUAGCGUAUAUUAAAGUUGUUGCGGUUAAAAGCUCGUAGUUGGAUUUCUGCCGAGGACGACCGGUCCGCCCUCUGGGUGUGCAUCUGGCUCGGCCUGGGCAUCUUCUUGGAGAACGUAUCUGCACUUGACUGUGUGGUGCGGUAUCUAAGACUUUUACUUUGAGGAAAUUAGAGUGUUUCAAGCAGGCUCAUGCCUUGAAUACAUUAGCAUGGAAUAAUAAGAUAGGACCUCGGUUCUAUUUUGUUGGUUUUUAGAGCUGAGGUAAUGAUUAAUAGGGAUAGUUGGGGGCAUUCGUAUUUAACUGUCAGAGGUCGAAAUUCUUGGAUUUGUUAAAGACGGACUACUGCGAAAGCAUUUGCCAAGGAUGUUUUCAUUGAUCAAGAACGAAAGUUAGGGGAUCGAAGACGAUCAGAUACCGU
RNAcentral lists this ribosomal RNA (422 nucleotides) under uncultured eukaryote. RNAcentral describes it as "SSU rRNA". It matches the Rfam family "Eukaryotic small subunit ribosomal RNA", at positions 592 to 1018 of the family's 1831-position model. The record is from RNAcentral.